AGUCGAACGAAGCGCUUAAAUGGAUUUCUUCGGAUUGAAGUUUUUGUGACUGAGUGGCGGACGGGUGAGUAACGCGUGGGUAACCUGCCUCAUACAGGGGGAUAACAGUUAGAAAUGACUGCUAAUACCGCAUAAGCGCACAGUGCUGCAUGGCACAGUGUGAAAAACUCCGGUGGUAUGAGAUGGACCCGCGUCUGAUUAGCUGGUUGGUGGGGUAACGGCCUACCAAGGCGACGAUCAGUAGCUGGCCUGAGAGGGUGAACGGCCACAUUGGGACUGAGACACGGCCCAAACUCCUACGGGAGGCAGCAGUGGGGAAUAUUGCACAAUGGGGGAAACCCUGAUGCAGCGACGCCGCGUGAGCGAAGAAGUAUUUCGGUAUGUAAAGCUCUAUCAGCAGGGAAGAAAAUGACGGUACCUGACUAAGAAGCACCGGCUAAAUACGUGCCAGCAGCCGCGGUAAUACGUAUGGUGCAAGCGUUAUCCGGAUUUACUGGGUGUAAAGGGAGCGUAGACGGUUGUGUAAGUCUGAUGUGAAAGCCCGGGGCUCAACCCCGGGACUGCAUUGGAAACUAUGUAACUAGAGUGUCGGAGAGGUAAGCGGAAUUCCUAGUGUAGCGGUGAAAUGCGUAGAUAUUAGGAGGAACACCAGUGGCGAAGGCGGCUUACUGGACGAUCACUGACGUUGAGGCUCGAAAGCGUGGGGAGCAAACAGGAUUAGAUACCCUGGUAGUCCACGCCGUAAA
Molecule: ribosomal RNA, 746 nt
Filed under: uncultured bacterium
Lineage: Bacteria
Description: bacterial SSU rRNA
Rfam family: Bacterial small subunit ribosomal RNA
Source: RNAcentral